AGAAGGAAGAGUGAGGGAGAAGGAGGAGGAGGAGGCUCCACCAAGUGAGGGGAGAAGGAGGAGGAGGAGAAGCAGUGAGGAGGAGAAGCAGGAGGAGGAGUGAGGGGGAGGAGGAGAAGGAAGAGUGAGAAGGAGGAGGAGGAGGAGUGAGGGGGAGAAGGAAGAGUGAGAAGGAGGAGGAGGAGGAGUGAGGGGGAGAAGGAAGAGUGAGAAGGAGGAGGAGGAGGAGGAGAGCGGGGCGGCUGACGUACCUCCAGCAGCUCGGGCCGGUCCACUGUCCACGCUGCCCCCGUGACCCGAGUACCUGCAGUCAGGUGGAGCCCGACCCGCCUCACAGUGGCAGUUCUUGUUGCUGUUACACACCUGGAACGCACACAGACACACACACACACACACACACACACACACACAAUGCAUCAUCUGCUCAUUGGUUCUGUUUUCAUCUCUCGGAUCCGUUCUGUUAGACGGUUUCAGCGGGUCACCAUCUUGUUGUUGUGCAGUAACUAAAAGAAGACGGAGAUCAGCGUGAAUCUAAAGACAACUGAGAUAACGCCGUGGUGGAGACCUGUCAAUCAGCAGGUGGAGCCCCGCCCUGAAGCUUCCCCUGUGUGUGGCUCAUGUUUACUGAGGGGGGCAGUGGUUCUUCUGUCAUAGACUUGUCCUCCACUCACCCCGUGACCGUUGCACUUGCCGCGACAUUCCUCCACCUGGAACACGGACACGUCCUGACACUUCUGGUUCAAACACGCCUGAAAGCACACAGCAGCCCUGUUAAAGAUAAAGAGACGGUUCCUCCGGGCCUGCGUGGGCGGAGCGGUCCUCACCUUGCCGGGGCCGCAGGCGGUGCCCUGGGCCACGGUGGCGGGGUCCGACACGUCGUCCCCCAGGUGGAAGAAGGUUCCCCUGCAGACCAGGUCGCUGUGGUUGAAGCGCACGGUGGUGGUGAGGAUCUCUGCGUUGGUGCCCAGCAGGGGGCGCUCCCUCCCACCCCGACAUUGGAUACGGCCGCAGUGCGUGUCACUGCGACAGACAGGAAGUGAUGUCAGGGCGGGGCUUCCACUCAGAAGCACCACAGCGUGGGACGGCAUGAGGACACCAAUACUGUCUCUGUGCACUUUGUGUACUAUAUGUACUUUGUACUGUGUACUUACGAGUUUCCACAGGGUAGGUAGGAGCCGUUGCUCAGCUGACCACAGUUUCCAUAUUUGUUUCCUUGUUUGUUGACUGAUGAGAAACAGACGGGUGGAGCAGUGGUGGCGUCUGAGGACAGACAGACAGAGACUGGUCUUAGCUCCAUGUGAACUGGCCUAGGUCAGCAGGGACUGGUCUUAGCCCAGUAUGACGUGGUCUUACUGGGCCCCCACAGCAUCCUGCACUGGGUGAGCAUGCUGGCACAGACCCCCUCGUAGCAGUAUGAGGCGUCGUCUUCGCAGGGCUCCCCGUUCUGCAGGAAGACGUUUGGGGGGCAGUAAGGAGACGAGCCGGUGCAGAACUCUGGGAGGUCACACUCUCCAAGCGGGUCGCGACACACCGAACCAGCUGCUCUUAGCUAAGGAGGGGGAGGAGCUUAGACACAAGCCAACGUGUGUGUGUGUGUGUGUGUGUGUGUGUGUGUGUCGGACCUUGCAGUCUUGGCAACAGAUUCCGUCAGAUGAACACUGAGCUCCAGAAACAAGUUGACAGGUGGAGGCGUUGCAGCAGGGGUCCUCACACUCCUAACCAAUCACAGCACAGCAUCAACACCAAGACGGAGGGUGCAGACAGACAGACAGACAGACGGGUAUAGAGACAGACAGACCUACCUCCAGCAGCCCACAGUCACACUGCUCCCCCGUCUCCACGUACAGGUUCCCACAUCGAGGUCCUCCCAGCAGGCGGUCCGGCUGAGGGACGUUGAAGAGACACAUCCCGCCCCCGUGCAGAAGGCUGACGGACAGGUCUGCAGCGCUGCAGCUGCUGAACUGUUGACCCGGCAUGAACCUAGAGGUCAGAGUCAUCUUUAAUUAAUGAAUUUAAUUAGUUGCUCUUGGGUUAGAUCUUGGUACUGACCCGGGUUAAAUGUUCUGGUACUGACCCGGGUUAACCCAGGUUAAAUGUUCUGGUACUGACCCGGUUGACGGCUCCAUGAUGCAUCCUCCGAGCCGCUGUUCAUUCUGACAGGAACAGCGGCGCUCGGCGGUGUCGUGACUCAUCCCCAAGUUAUGACCGAGCUCGUGAGCGACAGUGGCGGCCACGCCGAGCACGCUGACCAGGUGGUCCUGAGAGACAGACAGGUGUUCAGCCAGACAGAGACGUUCAGACAGACAGGUGUUUAGACAGACAGACGUUCAGACAGACAGGUGUUUAAACAGACAGACAGAGACGUUCAGACAGACAGGUGUUUAAACAGACAGACAGAGACGUUCAGACAGACAGGUGUUUAAACAGACAGACAGACGGGUGUUUAAACAGACAGACAGACGGGUGUUUAAACAGACAGACAGA
Long non-coding RNA from Gasterosteus aculeatus aculeatus (three-spined stickleback), 2484 nucleotides. Lineage: Eukaryota; Metazoa; Chordata; Actinopteri; Perciformes; Gasterosteidae. The record is from Ensembl.